Molecule: ribosomal RNA, 516 nt
Filed under: uncultured Glomus
Lineage: Eukaryota; Fungi; Glomeromycota; Glomeromycetes; Glomerales; Glomeraceae
Description: SSU rRNA
Rfam family: Eukaryotic small subunit ribosomal RNA
Source: RNAcentral
AGCAGCCGCGGUAAUUCCAGCUCCAAUAGCGUAUAUUAAAGUUGUUGCAGUUAAAAAGCUCGUAGUUGAAUUUCGGGAUCAAUAUGUCGGUCGUGCCUUCGGUACGUACUGGUAUCAUUGGUCUCUCCUUUCUGACGAACCAUGAUGUCAUUAAUUUGGUGUUAUGGGGAGUUAGGACUGUUACUUUGAAAAAAUUAGAGUGUUUAAAGCAGGCUUUAGCUUGAAUACAUUAGCAUGGAAUAAUGAAAUAGGACGUUCGAACCUAUUUUGUUGGUUUCUAGGAUCAACGUAAUGAUUAAUAGGGAUAGUUGGGGGCAUUAGUAUUCAAUUGUCAGAGGUGAAAUUCUUGGAUUUAUUGAAGACUAACUACUGCGAAAGCAUUUGCCAAGGAUGUUUUCAUUAAUCAAGAACGAAAGUUAGGGGAUCGAAGACGAUCAGAUACCGUCGUAGUCUUAACCAUAAACUAUGCCGACUAGGGAUCGGAUGAUGUUAAUUUUUUAAUGUACUCAUUCGGCG